AGCGGCGGAUGGGUGAGUAACACGUGGGUAACCUACCCUAUAGUCUGGGAUACCACUUGGAAACAGGUGCUAAUACCGGAUAAAAGGAGAGAUCACAUGAUUUCUUUUUGAAAGGCGGCGUAAGCUGUCGCUAAAGGAUGGACCCGCGGUGCAUUAGCUAGUUGGUAAGGUAACGGCUUACCAAGGCAACGAUGCAUAGCCGAGUUGAGAGACUGAUCGGCCACAUUGGGACUGAGACACGGCCCAAACUCCUACGGGAGGCAGCAGUAGGGAAUCUUCCACAAUGGACGCAAGUCUGAUGGAGCAACGCCGCGUGAGUGAAGAAGGUUUUCGGAUCGUAAAGCUCUGUUGUUGGUGAAGAAAGAUAGUGAGAGUAACUGCUCAUUAUUUGCCGGUAAUCAACCAGAAAGUCACGGCUAACUACGUGCCAGCAGCCGCGGUAAUACGUAGGUGGCAAGCGUUGUCCGGAUUUAUUGGGCGUAAAGCGAGCGCAGGCGGAAAGAUAAGUCAGAUGUGAAAGCCCUCGGCUUAACCGAGGAAUAGCAUCGGAAACUGUCUUUCUUGAGUGCAGAAGAGGAGAGUGGAACUCCAUGUGUAGCGGUGGAAUGCGUAGAUAUAUGGAAGAACACCAGUGGCGAAGGCGGCUCUCUGGUCUGUAACUGACGCUGAGGCUCGAAAGCAUGGGUAGCGAACAGGAUUAGAUACCCUGGUAGUCCAUGCUGUAAACGAUGAGUGCUAAGUGUUGGGAGGUUUCCGCCUCUCAGUGCUGCAGCUAACGCAUUAAGCACUCCGCCUGGGGAGUACGACCGCAAGGUCAAAACUCAAAGGAAUUGACGGGGGCCCGCACAAGCGGUGGAGCAUGUGGUUUAAUUCGAAGCAACGCGAAGAACCUUACCAGGUCUUGACAU
This 908-nucleotide ribosomal RNA is filed under the name Lactobacillus acetotolerans. Its description in RNAcentral is "bacterial SSU rRNA". It matches the Rfam family "Bacterial small subunit ribosomal RNA", at positions 94 to 987 of the family's 1533-position model. The record is from RNAcentral. Lineage: Bacteria; Bacillati; Bacillota; Bacilli; Lactobacillales; Lactobacillaceae.